CCUACGGGAGGCAGCAGUGGGGAAUUUUGGACAAUGGGCGCAAGCCUGAUCCAGCAAUGCCGCGUGAGUGAAGAAGGCCUUCGGGUUGUAAAGCUCUUUUGUCAGGGAAGAAACGGUGGAGGCUAAUAUCCUUUGCUAAUGACGGUACCUGAAGAAUAAGCACCGGCUAACUACGUGCCAGCAGCCGCGGUAAUACGUAGGGUGCAAGCGUUAAUCGGAAUUACUGGGCGUAAAGCGUGCGCAGGCGGUUUUAUAAGUUUGUCGUGAAAUCCCCGGGCUCAACCUGGGAAUGGCGAUGAAGACUGCAAGGCUAGAAUCUGGCAGAGGGGGGUAGAAUUCCACGUGUAGCAGUGAAAUGCGUAGAGAUGUGGAGGAACACCGAUGGCGAAGGCAGCCCCCUGGGUCAAGAUUGACGCUCAUGCACGAAAGCGUGGGGAGCAAACAGGAUUAGAUACCCUGGUAGUCCACGCCCUAAACGAUGUCUACUAGUUGUCGGGUUUUAAUUAACUUGGUAACGCAGCUAACGCGUGAAGUAGACCGCCUGGGGAGUACGGUCGCAAGAUUAAAACUCAAAUGAAUUGACGG
Molecule: ribosomal RNA, 585 nt
Filed under: uncultured bacterium
Lineage: Bacteria
Description: bacterial SSU rRNA
Rfam family: Bacterial small subunit ribosomal RNA
Source: RNAcentral